CAGAGGGGGCAAGCGUUGUUCGGAAUUACUGGGCGUAAAGGGCGCGUAGGCGGCCUUCUAAGUCGAACGUGAAAUCCCCGGGCUCAACCCGGGAACUGCGUUCGAGACUGAUUGGCUUGAAUCCGGGAGAGGGAUGCGGAAUUCCAGGUGUAGCGGUGAAAUGCGUAGAUAUCUGGAGGAACACCGGUGGCGAAGGCGGCAUCCUGGACCGGCAUUGACGCUGAGGCGCGAAAGCCAGGGGAGCAAACGGGAUUAGAUACCCCGGUAGUCCUGGCCCUAAACGAUGAGUGCUUGGUGUGGCGGGUAUCGAUCCCUGCCGUGCCGAAGCUAACGCAUUAAGCACUCCGCCUGGGGAUACGGUCGCAAGGCUG
This 371-nucleotide ribosomal RNA is filed under the name uncultured organism. RNAcentral's name for it is "bacterial SSU rRNA". It matches the Rfam family "Bacterial small subunit ribosomal RNA", at positions 526 to 896 of the family's 1533-position model. The record is from RNAcentral.